Molecule: ribosomal RNA, 763 nt
Filed under: uncultured organism
Description: bacterial SSU rRNA
Rfam family: Bacterial small subunit ribosomal RNA
Source: RNAcentral
GAGUUCGUGCCUGGAUCUGAAUGAACGCUGGCGGCGUGCUCAACGCAUGCAAGUCGAACGAGAAAGCCGAAAGCUUGCUUUUGGCGAGUACAGUGGCGCACGGGUGAGUAACGCGUGGGUAAUCUGCCUUCGAACCGGGGAUAACACUUCGAAAGGGGUGCUAAUACCGGAUGACCUCCAGGUGUCUUCCGGCGCCUGGAUCAAAGAUGGCCUCUCCAUGGAAGCUGUUGUUCGAAGAUGAGCCCGCGUCCCAUUAGCUUGUUGGUGGGGUAAAGGCCCACCAAGGCGACGAUGGGUGCUGGUCUGAGAGGACGAUCAGCCACACUGGCACUGACCCACGGGCCACACUCCUACGGGAGGCAGCAGUGAGGAAUUUUGCGCAAUGGGGGUAACCCUGACGCAGCAACGCCGCGUGAGUGAAGAAGGCCUUCGGGUCAUAAAGCUCUGUCGAGUGGGAAGAAACCGCAUCAAGAGACAAGGCUGAUGCGCUGACGGUACCACUGGAGGAAGCACCGGCUAACUCCGUGCCAACAGCCGCGGUAAUACGGAGGGUGCAAGCGUUGUUCGGAAUUACUGGGCGUAAAGGGAGCGCAGGCGGCCUGGUAAGUCUCUAGUGAAAGAUCGGGGCUCGAUCUCGGAAGUGCUGCUGAAACUGAUGGGCUUGAGUAUGGGAUAGGGAAUCAGAAUUCCUGGUGUAGCGGUGACAUGUCUAGAUAUCACGCCGAACUUUCGUGGCUAAGGCUGCUUCCUGGACCAGUACUGA